GCUUAUGGCCAUACCACCCUGUCUGCGCCCGAUCUCAUCUGAUCGCGGAAGCUAAGAAAGGUCGGGCCUGGCUAGUACUUGGAUGGGAGACUGACUGGGAAUACCAGGUGCUAUAAGCU
Molecule: ribosomal RNA, 119 nt
Filed under: Sinocyclocheilus grahami
Lineage: Eukaryota; Metazoa; Chordata; Actinopteri; Cypriniformes; Cyprinidae
Source: RNAcentral